GGAUGCGAUCAUACCAGCACUAAAGCACCGGAUCCCAUCAGAACUCCGAAGUUAAGCGUGCUUGGGCGAGAGUAGUACUAGGAUGGUUAAGCGUGCUUGGGCGAGAGUAGUACUAGGAUGGGUGACCUCCUGGGAAGUCCUCGUGUUGCAUCCC
This 154-nucleotide ribosomal RNA is filed under the name Oryza sativa Indica Group (long-grained rice). Lineage: Eukaryota; Viridiplantae; Streptophyta; Magnoliopsida; Poales; Poaceae. The record is from RNAcentral.